ACGAUGACUCUCGGCAACGGAUAUCUCGGCUCUCGCAUCGAUGAAGAACGUAGCGAAAUGCGAUACCUGGUGUGAAUUGCAGAAUCCCGUGAACCAUCGAGUCUUUGAACGCAAGUUGCGCCCGAGGCCACCCGGUCGAGGGCACGCCUGCCUGGGCGUCACGC
RNAcentral lists this ribosomal RNA (164 nucleotides) under Pinanga rumphiana. RNAcentral's name for it is "5.8S rRNA". It matches the Rfam family "5.8S ribosomal RNA". From Rfam's summary of the family: 5.8S ribosomal RNA (5.8S rRNA) is a component of the large subunit of the eukaryotic ribosome. It is transcribed by RNA polymerase I as part of the 45S precursor that also contains 18S and 28S rRNA. Lineage: Eukaryota; Viridiplantae; Streptophyta; Magnoliopsida; Arecales; Arecaceae. The record is from RNAcentral.